UCAUUACCGAGUUUACAACUCCCAAACCCAAUGUGAACGUUACCAAACUGUUGCCUCGGCGGGAUCUCUGCCCCGGGUGCGUCGCAGCCCCGGACCAAGGCGCCCGCCGGAGGACCAACCAAAACUCUUAUUGUAUACCCCCUCGCGGGUUUUUUUUAUAAUCUGAGCCUUCUCGGCGCCUCUCGUAGGCGUUUCGAAAAUGAAUCAAAACUUUCAACAACGGAUCUCUUGGUUCUGGCAUCGAUGAAGAACGCAGCGAAAUGCGAUAAGUAAUGUGAAUUGCAGAAUUCAGUGAAUCAUCGAAUCUUUGAACGCACAUUGCGCCCGCCAGUAUUCUGGCGGGCAUGCCUGUCCGAGCGUCAUUUCAACCCUCGAACCCCUCCGGGGGGUCGGCGUUGGGGAUCGGCCCUCCCUUAGCGGGUGGCCGUCUCCGAAAUACAGUGGCGGUCUCGCCGCAGCCUCUCCUGCGCAGUAGUUUGCACACUCGCAUCGGGAGCGCGGCGCGUCCACAGCCGUUAAACACCCAACUUCUGAAAUGUUGACC
Molecule: ribosomal RNA, 544 nt
Filed under: Trichoderma cf. harzianum ROG-2010
Lineage: Eukaryota; Fungi; Ascomycota; Sordariomycetes; Hypocreales; Hypocreaceae
Description: eukaryotic LSU rRNA
Rfam family: 5.8S ribosomal RNA (bases 209-362)
Source: RNAcentral